Long non-coding RNA from Mytilus californianus (California mussel), 621 nucleotides. RefSeq lists it as uncharacterized. The transcript has 2 exons. The record is from RefSeq and is a predicted model, not a curated record. NCBI's taxonomy places the organism in Eukaryota, Metazoa, Mollusca, Bivalvia, Mytilida, Mytilidae.
AUAUAACAUAUAUAUAGGUGAUCAUAGGUUGGGACACAAACAUAAAAUGAUGUAAUGAUUAAGGACACCCAUCAGAUGACGCAAAACAAUGGCUAGACAAUUUUGAGGCAUGGAUUGUGUUUAACGGAUGGUUAGAAAAUGUAGACAAAGCUGUCAGUGCAAUGCAACUAAAACUUGAUGGAAAUGUACUCUCCUGGUUUCAGACUCUACCGAACAUUACAAAGCAAAGUAGUAGUACAUUGUUCAAGGGAUUUGUAAGCCAUUUUUCAUCUCUUCAUCCGACGUAAACGUGUUGCUUAGUCUUUAGUUUUCUAUGUUAUGUCAUCUGUACUACUAUUUGUCUGUUUGUCUUUUUAUUUUUGGCCAUGGCGUUGUCAGGUUGUUUUCGAUCUAUGAGUUUGACUGUCCCUCUGGUAUCUUUCGUCCCUCUUUUAUCAAAAUACUCUAAAACCAUAAAGCAAUGUUUAAUCUAAACUAACAGAUGUUAAUAGCGCGAUCUUGUGAGAACCUUUAUAUUGGUCAGUUGUUUUAUAGAUGAAAAUUUUAAUUGUGAACCUUUAUAUAUAUUAUAUAUGUACUGUUAUAUGAAUUUCUACUAACAUUAAACAUGUGAACAUUAAA